Molecule: long non-coding RNA, 659 nt
Filed under: Trifolium pratense (red clover)
Lineage: Eukaryota; Viridiplantae; Streptophyta; Magnoliopsida; Fabales; Fabaceae
Description: long non-coding RNA (TPRA_LNC010744)
Source: RNAcentral
AUAUAUAUGAUGUCCUAGCUCCAAUUAAUAUGUUUGCGGUAAGAAAUAUGGCUUAUUUUAAAAAGCUUAUUAUAAUGAACCUGGCUUUGCUGUUUGUGAUGAUUAUUCUCAUGUCAAUGAAAGUGGCAGCAACAAGACCACUAUACAAAAUUGAGCCACAUCACAAAGCAUGUCAGUAAAAAAUCUAAUUCCAAAUAUUUGUCUUUCUAUUUUUAUUUUUCUAAAAAACAUAUAAUUUCAAUAUUUAAUUUUCUUUUCAUUUAGAAUUUAUGUAUAUAUUGUUUAGUACUAAUUGAUUCUCCAUGUUUGUAUGGGAAUUUCAAAGAUGCACGACGACUUUUUUCUCUUGUUAAUGAUAGUCCACUGAAUCACAACUAUGAGAUUCCUCCUCCUGCAAUAAUCAGUUGAUGGUCCAGAGAAAAACUUUUGUAAAUAUUAUGUACUCACAUCAAUGGAUAUAUAAAGUAUUAUGACUUAUAAGUAGUACUAAGUUAAUUAUGUAUAGGUAUAUUUCUUACAAAAGAUAGAUAUUGUUGCUUAUAAGUUAUAUAUAAGAAAUAUAGUUUGAAACUACAAAUCUGUAUAAUUUUUUUUUUCUUUUGUUAUAUAAUUUGGAGAUUUUGUAUGAACGUUGUUGAUUGUAUUAAUGAAUUAAGGGU